CUACGGGGUGCAGCAGGCGCGAAACCUCCUCAAUGCACUAACGUGCGAAGGGGUUACCUCGAGUGCUACCUGAAGAAGGUGGCUUUUCCUUGGUCUAAAAAGCCUCGGGAAUAAGAGGGGGGCAAGACUGGUGUCAGCCGCCGCGGUAACACCAGCCCCUCGAGUGGUGGGGAUAUUAUUUGGCCUAAAGCGUCCGUAGCCGGCCGGGUAAGUUUCCCGUUAAAUCCAACGUCUCAAGCGUUGGACUGCGGGAAAUACUGCCUGGCUAGAGAGUGGGAGAGGUCAGCGGUAUUCUGGGGGUAGGGGCGAUAUCCUUUGAUCCCCGGAGGACCACCAGUGGCGAAGGCUGCUGACUAGAACACGUCUGACGGUCAGGGACGAAAGCUGGGGUAGCGAACCGGAUUAGAUACCCUGGUAGUC
This 420-nucleotide ribosomal RNA is filed under the name uncultured archaeon. Its description in RNAcentral is "partial 16S ribosomal RNA". It matches the Rfam family "Archaeal small subunit ribosomal RNA", at positions 323 to 746 of the family's 1478-position model. The record is from RNAcentral.